This 400-nucleotide ribosomal RNA is filed under the name uncultured bacterium. Its description in RNAcentral is "bacterial SSU rRNA". It matches the Rfam family "Bacterial small subunit ribosomal RNA", at positions 356 to 773 of the family's 1533-position model. The record is from RNAcentral.
GGGGAAUAUUGCACAAUGGGGGAAACCCUGAUGCAGCAACGCCGCGUGGAGGAAGAAGGUUUUCGGAUUGUAAACUCCUGUCUUUUGGGACGAUAAUGACGGUACCAAAAGAGGAAGCCACGGCUAACUACGUGCCAGCAGCCGCGGUAAUACGUAGGUGGCGAGCGUUGUCCGGAAUUACUGGGCGUAAAGGGCGCGUAGGCGGCCUGUUAAGUCAGAUGUGAAAACCCCAGGCUCAACCUGGGGACUGCAUAUGAAACUGAUGGGCUAGAGUGUCGGAGAGGGAAGCGGAAUUCCUAGUGUAGCGGUGAAAUGCGUAGAUAUUAGGGGGAACACCAGCGGCGAAGGCGGCUUUCUGGACGAUAACUGACGCUGAGGCGCGAAAGCGUGGGGAGCAAAC